RNAcentral lists this ribosomal RNA (475 nucleotides) under uncultured bacterium. RNAcentral's name for it is "bacterial SSU rRNA". It matches the Rfam family "Bacterial small subunit ribosomal RNA", at positions 327 to 793 of the family's 1533-position model. The record is from RNAcentral.
ACUCGUAGACUCCUACGGGAGGCAGCAGUGGGAUGGAAUUCUCAGAUGGGCGCAAGCCUGAUGCAGCCAUGCCGCGUGUGUGAAGAAGGCCUUCGGGUUGUAAAGCACUUUCAGUCGUGAGGAAGGUAGUGUAGUUAAUAGCUGCAUUAUUUGACGUUAGCGACAGAAGAAGCACCGGCUAACUCCGUGCCAGCAGCCGCGGUAAUACGGAGGGUGCGAGCGUUAAUCGGAAUUACUGGGCGUAAAGCGCAUGCAGGUGGUUUGUUAAGUCAGAUGUGAAAGCCCGGGGCUCAACCUCGGAACUGCAUUUGAAACUGGCAGACUAGAGUACUGUAGAGGGGGGUAGAAUUUCAGGUGUAGCGGUGAAAUGCGUAGAGAUCUGAAGGAAUACCGGUGGCGAAGGCGGCCCCCUGGACAGAUACUGACACUCAGAUGCGAAAGCGUGGGGAGCAAACAGGAUUAGAUACCCUGGUAG